GCGGUGGUAGCGUAGUGGUUAAGGAGCUGGGCUAACGACUGAGAAGUUGUAGGUUCAAUUCCCAGCUUCCACC
RNAcentral lists this transfer RNA (73 nucleotides) under Alosa alosa (allis shad). Its description in RNAcentral is "tRNA-OTHER". The record is from RNAcentral. Lineage: Eukaryota; Metazoa; Chordata; Actinopteri; Clupeiformes; Clupeidae.